UGUUGGGUAGGGGAGCGUUGUGUAAGCUGAAGAAGGUGGUUCGAGAGGGCUGCUGGAGGUAUCACAAGUGCGAAUGCUGACAUAAGUAACGAUAAAGCGGGUGAAAGGCCCGCUCGCCGGAAGACCAAGGUUUCCUGUCCAACGUUAAUCGGGGCAGGGUGAGUCGGCCCCUAAGGCGAGGCUGAGAAGCGUAGUCGAUGGGAAAUGGGUUAAUAUUCCCAUACUUGGAUAAACUGCGAUGUGGGGACGGAGCAGGUUAGGUUAGCGUACGGAUGGAAGAGUACGUUUAAGUUGGUAGGUGGGGUGUUUAGGCAAAUCCGGGCACCUGAUAACACUGAGAGAUGAUGACGAAGCUCUACGGAGCUGAAGUAACUGAUACCCAACUUCCAGGAAAAGCCACUAAGCGAGAGGUUUAUCUAAACCGUACUGGAAACCGACACAGGUGGUCAGGUAGAGAAUACUAAGGCGCUUGAGAGAACUCGGGUGAAGGAACUAGGCAAAAUAGCACCGUAACUUCGGGAGAAGGUGCGCUGGCGUAGUGUGAAGUUCUUCGCGAAUGGAGCAUGAACCAGUCGAAGCGACGAGCUGGCUGCAACUGUUUAAUAAAAACACAGCACUCUGCAAACACGAAAGUGGACGUAUAGGGUGUGAUGCCUGCCCGGUGCUGGAAGGUUAAUUGAUGGUGUCAUCGAAAGAGAAGCACCUGAUCGAAGCCCCAGUAAACGGCGGCCGUAACUAUAACGGUCCUAAGGUAGCGAAAUUCCUUGUCGGGUAAGUUCCGACCUGCACGAAUGGCAUAAUGAUGGCCAGGCUGUCUCCACCCGAGACUCAGUGAAAUUGAAAUCGCCGUGAAGAUGCGGUGUACCCGCGGCUAGACGGAAAGACCCCGUGAACCUUUACUAUAGCUUGACACUGAACCUUGAAUUUUAAUGUGUAGGAUAGGUGGGAGACUAAGAAGCGGUAACGCCAGUUAUCGUGGAGUCGGUGUUGAAAUACCACCCUUUAACGUUUGAUGUUCUAACGAGGCGCCUGGGACAGGUGUUCGGACAGUGUCUGGUGGGUAGUUUGACUGGGGCGGUCUCCUCCCAAAGCGUAACGGAGGAGCACGAAGGUUGGCUAAUGACGGUCGGACAUCGUCAGGUUAGUGCAAUGGUAGAAGCCAGCUUAACUGCGAGACGGACAAGUCGAGCAGGUACGAAAGUAGGUCAUAGUGAUCCGGUGGUUCUGAAUGGAAGGGCCAUCGCUCAACGGAUAAAAGGUACUCCGGGGAUAACAGGCUGAUACCGCCCAAGAGUUCAUAUCGACGGCGGUGUUUGGCACCUCGAUGUCGGCUCAUCACAUCCUGGGGCUGAAGUAGGUCCCAAGGGUAUGGCUGUUCGCCAUUUAAAGUGGUACGCGAGCUGGGUUUAGAACGUCGUGAGACAGUUCGGUCCCUAUCUGCCGUGGGCGUUGGAGGAUUGAGGGGGGUUGCUCCUAGUACGAGAGGACCGGAGUGAACGCACCGCUGGUGUUCCAGUUGUUUCGCCAGAAGCAUAGCUGGGUAGCUAAGUGCGGAAGAGAUAAGUGCUGAAAGCAUCUAAGCACGAAACUUGCCCCGAGAUGAGUUCUCCCAGUCUAAGAGACUGUAAGGGUUGUUGAAGACGACGACGUAGAUAGGUGGGGUGUGUAAGCGGUGUGAGCCGUUGAGCUAACCCAUACUAAUUGCCCGAGAGGCUUAACUAUACAACGCUGAAGGGUUUU
This 1740-nucleotide ribosomal RNA is filed under the name Gallibacterium anatis. RNAcentral describes it as "bacterial LSU rRNA". It matches the Rfam family "Bacterial large subunit ribosomal RNA", at positions 1222 to 2925 of the family's 2925-position model. Lineage: Bacteria; Pseudomonadati; Pseudomonadota; Gammaproteobacteria; Pasteurellales; Pasteurellaceae. The record is from RNAcentral.